UACGAAGGGUGCAACCGUUGCUCGGAAUCAUUGGGCGUAAAGCGCACGUAGGCGGCUUUGCAAGUCGGAUGUGAAAUCCCGUGGCUCAACCAUGGACGUGCAUUCGAAACUGCGAAGCUUGAGUAUGGAAGAGGGUCGCGGAAUUCCCGGUGUAGAGGUGAAAUUCGUAGAUAUCGGGAGGAACACCAGUGGCGAAGGCGGCGACCUGGGCCAAUACUGACGCUGAGGUGCGAAAGCGUGGGGAGCAAACAGG
Molecule: ribosomal RNA, 253 nt
Filed under: uncultured bacterium
Lineage: Bacteria
Description: partial 16S ribosomal RNA
Rfam family: Bacterial small subunit ribosomal RNA
Source: RNAcentral